This is a non-coding RNA of Mycena albidolilacea, 101 nucleotides long. The record is from the annotation of a GenBank genome assembly. NCBI's taxonomy places the organism in Eukaryota, Fungi, Basidiomycota, Agaricomycetes, Agaricales, Mycenaceae.
UGGGACCUGGUGUAUGGUGCACAGCUGCUCUUAAUGUUCAAUGUUGAAAAUAAUGGAAUGAAUUGCAGCAGCGAGACGGGGUUCGAUUCCCCGGGUCCCCA